GAGUUUGAUCAUGGCUCAGGAUAAACGCUGGCGGCGCACAUAAGACAUGCAAGUCGAACGAACUUAACCAUUAGUUUACUAUUGGAGCGGUUAGUGGCGGACUGGUGAGUAACACGUAAGCAACCUGCCUAUCAGAGGGGAACAACAGUUAGAAAUGACUGCUAAUACCGCAUAUGCCUUAAUCUUCACAUGGAGAUAGAGGGAAAGGAGCAAUCCGCUGAUAGAUGGGCUUGCGUCUGAUUAGCUAGUAGGU
RNAcentral lists this ribosomal RNA (253 nucleotides) under uncultured bacterium. RNAcentral describes it as "partial 16S ribosomal RNA". It matches the Rfam family "Bacterial small subunit ribosomal RNA", at positions 9 to 253 of the family's 1533-position model. The record is from RNAcentral.